RNA transcript from Arachis duranensis, 1269 nucleotides. It is a transcript of the gene named cullin-1, with no coding region annotated. The record is from RefSeq and is a predicted model, not a curated record. The transcript has 11 exons. Lineage: Eukaryota; Viridiplantae; Streptophyta; Magnoliopsida; Fabales; Fabaceae.
UGUGGAUACAAAUGAAAGUCCAAAGAUUUUAGUCAACUCCGAGUCUUGCAAUAUGGUGUGUAGAUAUAAAUCAAAGACUUAAGUCAACUCUGAUUAAUGUCAAGCAUUUGUUCUUUGCAGGUUUUGUUUCAAAUUCACAGCUUGCCAUCUUCAUCUUCAUGUCGACGAGUGAGUGGAGGAUCAUCCACCUGGAGCAGGGAUGGGAUUUCAUGCAGAAGGGCAUCACCAAGCUCAAGAUAAUUCUAGAAGAAGGCUUGCCUGAACCUCACUUCAGCUCCGAGGACUACAUGAUGCUUUACACAACCAUCUAUAUCAUGUGCACCCAAAGGCCUCCUCAUGACUAUUCCCAACAACUCUAUGACAAGUACAAGGAGGUAUUUGAAGAGUACAUCCAAUCAACGGUAUUACCAUCUUUGAGAGAGAAGCAUGAUGAAUUUAUGUUGAUAGAACUUGUAAAGAGGUGGGCAAACCAUAAAAUUAUGGUUAGGUGGCUUUCUCGUUUCUUUCAUUUUUUGGAUUGCCACUUUAUUGCCCGGAGGUCACUCCCACGCCUUAAUGAAGUUGGCUUAACUUGCUUCCGUGAUUUGGUUUACAAGGAGCUAAAUGGGAAAGUUAGAGAUGCAGUUAUUUCUAUUAUUGAUUAAGAACGUGAAGGAGAGCAGAUUGAUCGGACUUUAUUAAAGAAUGUAUUAUACGUAUUUGUUGAAAUUGGGAUGGGGAAAAUGGAUCACUAUGAGAAUGAUUUUGAAUCUGCAAUGCUUAAAGACACCUCUGCUUAUUACUCUCAAAAGGCUUCUAAUUGGAUCCUAGAAGAUUCUUGUCCUGAUUACAUGCUCAAGGCUGAGGAGUGCUUAAAACGGGAGAAAGAUAGAGUUGCUCAGUAUUUGCACUUCAGUAGCGAGCCAAAGUUGUUAGAGAAAGUUCAACAUGAGCUGCUAUCCAUGUACGCAAACCAACUCCUCCAGAAAGAGCACUCUGGAUGUCAUGCUUUGCUUAGAGAUGGCAAGGUUGAAGAUCUGUCACGGAUGUUCAGGCUAUUUUCUAAAGUACCUGAAGGCUUAGAUGCUGUUUCCAGUAUAUUUAAGCAGCAUGUUUUCACUGAAGGUAUGGUAUUGGUUAAGCAGGCUGAAGAUGCAGCUAGUACCAAAAGGCAGAUAAAAAGGAUAUUGUUUGUCUGAAAAGUUUGAAUUUAUGAAUAUAAUUGCAAUUGUGGAAACUGAAGCUGGUCUGGUUGUUCAGGAUUUUGUCCGGAAAGUGAUUGAGCUGCAU